This 217-nucleotide unclassified non-coding RNA is filed under the name Hevea brasiliensis (rubber tree). Lineage: Eukaryota; Viridiplantae; Streptophyta; Magnoliopsida; Malpighiales; Euphorbiaceae. The record is from RNAcentral.
GUUUUGAAAGAAAAUAUAAAUAUACUUGUGCCAAAAAUAUAUGUUACCCAUCUUCAUCCACAGGACAGUUUGACAUAACACUUAUUACUAGGUGAAUACUGAAGAAAAUAAGAAAAUAAUGAUAAAUAAAAAGUUGGUUUUUCAUAACUAAGAUUAAUGGGGAUUAUAUCUAGUGAAAGUCUAUUAAAUCCAUAUUUCUACAGAUUAUUCAUUUGUA